GAACGAGCUAGACCCAGGUGCUGCUGGGAGUGGAAUGAGCUAGACCCAGGUGCUGCUGGGAGUGGAACGAGCAUUGUAAAUGGCGAGCGGUGGUUACAGAAGCCUCUGUCCUUCCACGCCGAGAGAAGUCCCACUGAAAAAUGACUGCAGUGUGCCACAGGAGAUGGAGGGGAUUUCCCCAGCUGAACUGGAGCAGGUCUGGGUUGAUCCAGAGACAGGGCAUCAGGGUCUCCUGCGAUGCCCAGUUCAGGAGCAGCCACACUAAGCAACAGCUUCUCAUGUGAGAGGCAGAGCUCCAGGACUCUGCUGCGACGGUGAUCUCAUCUGGAGUCUUUAAGUUCGCACUGUAACCGAGCACAGACCUGGCCGCUCGCAGCUUGCACAGCUGGUAACAAGGAUGAAGUACAGGGAUAGGAAAGUGACUGUAUUCGAGCUAGCAGUGGGAAAGUAGCCAGUUUACACAUCCAGAAACGGCUUCAAACUUUAGGCUUGGAAGAGGUUAUUCAAAGCGGGACCUUGGAAUGGGAGGCAUGCUGGCGUGGUGCUGAGUACAAAGUCUGUGUGUCCUGUUACCACUGUAACAGGAGCUGUGGUCCACCUGGGGCCCCAACUGGCAUCAUCUCAACAUCUCAUAUAUUGCGGGUGGGAAUGCAAAAUGAUGCAGCCACUCUGGAAAAUAGUUUGGACAUUUUUUAUAAAACUACCGUGUGAUCCACCAAUGGCAAUCCUGGGCAAGUAUCCCAGAAAAAUGAAAAUUGAUGUUCACGCAAAAAUCUGUACAUAAAUGUUUAUAGCAUCUUUUAUUCAUGACAGCCUAAAACUGCAAACUAUCCAGAUGUCCUUUAAUAUGUGAAUAGCUAAACAAACUGUGGUACACUCAUACUGUGAAUGCUACAUGGCCAUCAAAAGGAACAAACCAGUAUUCCAUGCACCUUCCUGGAUGAAUCUCUAGGGAAUUAUGCUCAAUGAAAAAAGUUAAUCCUGAAAGGUCUCCUAUUGUAUGAUUCCAUUUUCAUAACAUUCUAGAAACCAAAACUAUAAAAUGAAGAGAAAGUUAGUGGAUGACAGGGGCCAAGGAAUAAAGGCAGGGAGAGGAAGGGAACUGGGUGUAGUGGUAGAAAGACAACAUGAGAGAUCCUUGUGGUAAACAAAUGAUUCCAUAUCUUGAUGGUGUCAAUGUCAAUGUCCUGGUUGUGAUACUGUACUAUAGUUUUGGAAGAUGUUAACACUGGGGAAAACUGGAUAUUGAUGACAUUGAUGGUAAAGAGUGCACGUGCUAUUUCUGAAUUAUUUCUUACAACUGCAUGUGAAUCUACAAAUAUCCCAGAAUAAAUAAUUUUUAAAGCAAUAUUGUAUUGGUAUGGUAAAACAAAUAGACUAAUGGAAUCAAAUAGAGACUCCACAUAUAAACCCUAUUAGGUUUGUUACCUCAGAAGCGGACCACAAAACAA
Molecule: long non-coding RNA, 1451 nt
Filed under: Rhinopithecus bieti (black snub-nosed monkey)
Lineage: Eukaryota; Metazoa; Chordata; Mammalia; Primates; Cercopithecidae
Description: lncRNA (ENSRBIG00000045122.1)
Source: RNAcentral